AUCACAAGCAAAUGGCUAAACUCUCAUCAACUUUGUGUUUUUUGCUCCUUGUUUGUGUACUAGGUACUAAUGAAAUUCGUGAUACGGCUAGCAAUGUAAUAGUACCAAAUCGUAAAUGCUUAAGUAUUUUGGGUAUAUGCGGUUCUAAAGUUUGUGACGAACAUUGUUGUGAGAAUAAAUGUUUAAAUAAAUUCCAGUCACAAAAUCCAAGUGGUGCUUGUGAGUUGUUCCCUGGCUCUGGAUUGGUAAUUUGUAAUUGUUACCAUGAUUGUGGUAAUUAGAACACACACAAAAAAAAUGAAUAAAACUUUUUAAUUCAA
This is a long non-coding RNA of Solanum pennellii, 320 nucleotides long. RefSeq lists it as uncharacterized. Lineage: Eukaryota; Viridiplantae; Streptophyta; Magnoliopsida; Solanales; Solanaceae. The transcript has 2 exons. The record is from RefSeq and is a predicted model, not a curated record.